RNAcentral lists this ribosomal RNA (426 nucleotides) under uncultured bacterium. Its description in RNAcentral is "bacterial SSU rRNA". It matches the Rfam family "Bacterial small subunit ribosomal RNA", at positions 356 to 773 of the family's 1533-position model. The record is from RNAcentral.
GGGGAAUAUUGGACAAUGGGGGGAACCCUAAUCCAGCCAUGCCGCGUGUGUGAAGAAGGCCUUUUGGUUGUAAAGCACUUUAAGCGAGGAGGAGGCUACCUAGAUUAAUACUCUAGGAUAGUGGACGUUACUCGCAGAAUAAGCACCGGCUAACUCUGUGCCAGCAGCCGCGGUAAUACAGAGGGUGCGAGCGUUAAUCGGAUUUACUGGGCGUAAAGCGUGCGUAGGCGGCUUUUUAAGUCGGAUGUGAAAUCCCUGAGCUUAACUUAGGAAUUGCAUUCGAUACUGGGAAGCUAGAGUAUGGGAGAGGAUGGUAGAAUUCCAGGUGUAGCGGUGAAAUGCGUAGAGAUCUGGAGGAAUACCGAUGGCGAAGGCAGCCAUCUGGCCUAAUACUGACGCUGAGGUACGAAAGCAUGGGGAGCAAAC